RNAcentral lists this unclassified non-coding RNA (633 nucleotides) under Hevea brasiliensis (rubber tree). Lineage: Eukaryota; Viridiplantae; Streptophyta; Magnoliopsida; Malpighiales; Euphorbiaceae. The record is from RNAcentral.
GCCCACGUGGAAAUCAUUGUUAUCUGGCAUUUAUCAUCCUUUGCAAGAUUGUCUAGUUUCCGCAAUAAGAAAGUUCUCAAAGCAUCCUGUUCACUUGCACUAAUAAACUUCAGAGUGAUUUCCUCAAAUGAUAAUAUAUAAUUAACUUUUGCAUAGAAGGAUGCUGCUCUCAAAAAAUCCCUGGAGUCAAAUGCAGCAUCUGCCUGCAACAAAUAUACUUGGUCUCUCUGCAGCGGGUCACGGCAAUUUGCUAAAGCUGCAGCAUAUUCCUUCAUGUCUAGAUACACCUUCCACAUAUCCCGUCCUUCGUCAUUAACAGACACCUGAAAUACAGAAUUUUGGUCAUAUGCAUAGAACAAGCCAGCAGUGGCAUCGAUACAUAAUCCAAUAACAUCCCUUGAAACUGAUUCAGAUGUUUGAUCAAACUGAAGUUCCUCUAUAAUUUGCUCACUAAUUCUGUUCACAACCUUAACCUUAUUUCCAAUAAGAAGCAAGAAAUGAAAUUCAGAUACUGCCAUAGAAGAUGGUUUAAUUGCAUCAGCACCAUCACUUAGUUUUGAAUAGUCCAGAAGAGCCUUGCUCUCCACAAAAUUUUCAUCUCCAUUUGGAUAACUAUGCUGUGCUCCAAAAUUU